RNAcentral lists this long non-coding RNA (692 nucleotides) under Capsicum annuum. Its description in RNAcentral is "long non-coding RNA (CANN_LNC006172)". Lineage: Eukaryota; Viridiplantae; Streptophyta; Magnoliopsida; Solanales; Solanaceae. The record is from RNAcentral.
CUGAUUCAACUUCAGUAAUUCACUACUAUCUAUAUAUUGGAGGUUGUCUUCAAAUUAUACUAUAGGCCCCUCCAAAAAAAAAAAAUUAGAAAUGAGAAUAUACUCUAUUGUCCAUAUUUUUCCUUGUUGCCGCAUUCAUCCUCCAUUUUUUUUCAGGACUAAUUAACGUUCUGCAAUUCUUAUUAUAUACAAAUGAUAUUAGAGCCACUCUGCGUGUAACCUUGGACAAUGAAGGGACAAAACUUAAUGUUCAAUUGAGUUUAGAUGAAUCCCACAAAUUUGAGAUGAUAUGCGAUCGAAUUUCAACGGGGAUAAUAUUGAAUUUUUAAUGGGUGGUGCACAUAUAUCAGAUAAUUUAGGCGAAUUCCAUGUUGGCAAAACACAUGAGAGACAUUAGAUAUAUAAGGAAACAAGUGGCAGAUUUUAAUCACGCGUUUUAGUCGUGUGUGUCUAGAUCCAAAGCGAAUAUUAUCACUAUUGGAGUGGACUGAUAGAAUUACAUUGAAUUAAUUUAAUAAUUUUUUUUUCUUGGAAAAUUGAUGUGUAGUUGUUGUACAAAAUAAAGGACUACAUGGUGACCAAGUUGGAACCCUUGACCCAAAGGACAGCAAAGCUCAACAGAUUCCUUUUCUACCACUAGACACACUACACACUUUGGUAUGGAUUUUCAAAUUUUAUUUGUUGUAUAUUUA